This 223-nucleotide ribosomal RNA is filed under the name uncultured bacterium. Its description in RNAcentral is "partial 16S ribosomal RNA". It matches the Rfam family "Bacterial small subunit ribosomal RNA", at positions 524 to 775 of the family's 1533-position model. The record is from RNAcentral.
UACGUAGAAGACUAGUGUUAUUCAUCUUUAUUAGGUUUAAAGGGUACGUAGACGGUAAAAAUAAGCCUAAAAGAAGGUACGAUUUUACUAGAGUUAUAUUUGAUGAGGGGAGUAUUUAAGGUGUAGAGUUGAAAUUCGUUGAUACUUUAAGGACUGGUUAGGGCGAAAGCGACCUUUUAAUAAAUAACUGACGUCCAGGGACGAAGGCUUGGGUAGCGAACAG